Molecule: ribosomal RNA, 279 nt
Filed under: uncultured bacterium
Lineage: Bacteria
Description: partial 16S ribosomal RNA
Rfam family: Bacterial small subunit ribosomal RNA
Source: RNAcentral
UGCCAGCCGCCGCGGUAAUACGGAGGGUGCGAGCGUUAAUCGGAAUCACUGGGCAUAAAGCGCACGCAGGCGGAUUGGAAAGUCGGUUGUGAAAGCCCGGGGCUCAACUCCGGAACUGCUUCCGAAACUUCCAGUCUAGAGGAUGAGAGGGGAGAGUGGAACUUCUGGUGGAGCGGUGAAAUGCGUAGAGAUCAGAAGGAACACCGGUGGCGAAAGCGACUCUCUGGCUCAUUUCUGACGCUAAGGUGCGAAAGCUAGGGGAGCGAACGGGGUUAGAUA